RNAcentral lists this ribosomal RNA (244 nucleotides) under uncultured Lactobacillus sp. Its description in RNAcentral is "partial 16S ribosomal RNA". It matches the Rfam family "Bacterial small subunit ribosomal RNA", at positions 122 to 354 of the family's 1533-position model. The record is from RNAcentral. Lineage: Bacteria; Bacillati; Bacillota; Bacilli; Lactobacillales; Lactobacillaceae.
UAACCUGCCCAAGAGAGUCGGGAAUAACCACCUAGGAAACAGAUGCUAAUACCGGAUAACAACAGAUGAUGCCUAUCAACUGUUUAAAAGAUGGUUCUGCUAUCACUCUUGGAUGGACCUGCGGUGCAUUAGCUAGUUGGUAGGGUAACGGCCUACCAAGGCGAUGAUGCAUAGCCGAGUUGAGAGACUGAUCGGCCACAUUGGGACUGAGACACGGCCCAAACUCCUACGGGAGGCAGCAGGA